GUCCACGCCGUAAACGAUGAAUGCUAGCCGUCGGUGAGCUUGCUCUUCGGUGGCGCAGCUAACGCAAUAAGCAUUCCGCCUGGGGAGUACGGUCGCAAGACUAAAACUCAAAGGAAUUGACGGGGGCCCGCACAAGCGGUGGAGCAUGUGGUUCAAUUCGACGCAACGCGAAGAACCUUACCAGGCCUUGACAUCCCGAUCGCGGCCCUUCGAAAGAGGGGCUUUCAGUUCGGCUGGAUCGGUGACAGGUGCUGCAUGGCUGUCGU
Molecule: ribosomal RNA, 266 nt
Filed under: uncultured bacterium
Lineage: Bacteria
Description: partial 16S ribosomal RNA
Rfam family: Bacterial small subunit ribosomal RNA
Source: RNAcentral